This 253-nucleotide ribosomal RNA is filed under the name uncultured bacterium. RNAcentral describes it as "partial 16S ribosomal RNA". It matches the Rfam family "Bacterial small subunit ribosomal RNA", at positions 524 to 776 of the family's 1533-position model. The record is from RNAcentral.
UACGGAGGGGGCUAGCGUUGUUCGGAAUUACUGGGCGUAAAGCGCACGUAGGCGGGCGAUUAAGUCAGGGGUGAAAUCCCAGAGCUCAACUCUGGAACUGCCUUUGAUACUGGUCGUCUCGAGAUCGGAAGAGGUGAGUGGAAUUCCCAGUGUAGAGGUGAAAUUCGUAGAUAUUGGGAAGAACACCAGUGGCGAAGGCGGCUCACUGGUCCGAUACUGACGCUGAGGUGCGAAAGCGUGGGGAGCAAACAGG